GCCAAUAGGAGGGCGUGUGAGAGGGUACCGUUCGCUCGGCCUCGCAUUGUUGCUCUGAGCUCCAGGAAGAUGUCCGCUCCCAUCAGCCGGCUGCUGCUCCUGUGUCUCCUGCCCCUGCUGGGGGCUCACGCUGGGGAUGGAGGGGGCAGGUACUCCCGGGAGAAGAACCAGGUCCCUGCAGACAGUGCGGAGUUCAGGAUCCUCA
Non-coding RNA from Pelobates cultripes (western spadefoot toad), 205 nucleotides. The record is from the annotation of a GenBank genome assembly. NCBI's taxonomy places the organism in Eukaryota, Metazoa, Chordata, Amphibia, Anura, Pelobatidae.